This 738-nucleotide ribosomal RNA is filed under the name Bacillus sp. FJAT-4632. Its description in RNAcentral is "bacterial SSU rRNA". It matches the Rfam family "Bacterial small subunit ribosomal RNA", at positions 63 to 782 of the family's 1533-position model. The record is from RNAcentral. Lineage: Bacteria; Bacillati; Bacillota; Bacilli; Caryophanales; Bacillaceae.
CGAGCGAACUGAUUAGAAGCUUGCUUCUAUGACGUUAGCGGCGGACGGGUGAGUAACACGUGGGCAACCUGCCUGUAAGACUGGGAUAACUUCGGGAAACCGAAGCUAAUACCGGAUAGGAUCUUCUCCUUCAUGGGAGAUGAUUGAAAGAUGGUUUCGGCUAUCACUUACAGAUGGGCCCGCGGUGCAUUAGCUAGUUGGUGAGGUAACGGCUCACCAAGGCCACGAUGCAUAGCCGACCUGAGAGGGUGAUCGGCCACACUGGGACUGAGACACGGCCCAGACUCCUACGGGAGGCAGCAGUAGGGAAUCUUCCGCAAUGGACGAAAGUCUGACGGAGCAACGCCGCGUGAGUGAUGAAGGCUUUCGGGUCGUAAAACUCUGUUGUUAGGGAAGAACAAGUACAAGAGUAACUGCUUGUACCUUGACGGUACCUAACCAGAAAGCCACGGCUAACUACGUGCCAGCAGCCGCGGUAAUACGUAGGUGGCAAGCGUUAUCCGGAAUUAUUGGGCGUAAAGCGCGCGCAGGCGGUUUCUUAAGUCUGAUGUGAAAGCCCACGGCUCAACCGUGGAGGGUCAUUGGAAACUGGGGAACUUGAGUGCAGAAGAGAAAAGCGGAAUUCCACGUGUAGCGGUGAAAUGCGUAGAGAUGUGGAGGAACACCAGUGGCGAAGGCGGCUUUUUGGUCUGUAACUGACGCUGAGGCGCGAAAGCGUGGGGAGCAAACAGGAUUAGA